RNAcentral lists this ribosomal RNA (1176 nucleotides) under Clostridium perfringens. RNAcentral's name for it is "partial 23S ribosomal RNA". It matches the Rfam family "Bacterial large subunit ribosomal RNA", at positions 308 to 1485 of the family's 2925-position model. Lineage: Bacteria; Bacillati; Bacillota; Clostridia; Eubacteriales; Clostridiaceae. The record is from RNAcentral.
AACAUAAAAGUGGAGGCUAUUGUAACUGAAGAGAACUGGAAAGUUCCACCGUAGAAGGUAAUAGUCCUGUAAGUGAAACGAGAAGACCACGAGUUAUGAUCCAGAGUACCACGAGACACGUGAAACCUUGUGGGAAGCAGGGAGGACCACCUCCCAAGGCUAAAUACUACCUGAUGACCGAUAGUGAAGCAGUACCGUGAGGGAAAGGUGAAAAGAACCCCGGGAGGGGAGUGAAAUAGAACCUGAAACCGUGUGCCUACAACCGCUCAGAGCCCCUUAUGAGGGUGAUGAGGUGCUUUUUGUAGAACGAGCCAACGAGUUACGGUAUGUAGCAAGGUUAAGUACUUAAGGUACGGAGCCGAAGGGAAACCGAGUCUGAAUAGGGCGACUAGUUGCAUGCCGUAGACCCGAAACCGGGUGACCUAUCCAUGGCCAGGUUGAAGCGAGGGUAAAACCUCGUGGAGGACCGAACCACGUUGCUGUUGAAAAAGCAUGGGAUGAGCUGUGGAUAGCGGAGAAAUUCCAAUCGAACCCGGAGAUAGCUGGUUCUCUCCGAAAUAGCUUUAGGGCUAGCGUCGAGUAUGAGUAGUGGAGGUAGAGCACUGAAUGGGCUAGGGGGCAUAGCGCUUACCGAACCUUAUCAAACUCCGAAUGCCACAUACUUUGAGCUCGGCAGUCAGACUACGAAUGAUAAGAUCCGUGGUCAAAAGGGAAACAGCCCAGAUCGUCAGCUAAGGUCCCAAAGUGUAAGUUAAGUGGGAAAGGAUGUGAGAUUUCUAAGACAACUAGGAUGUUGGCUUAGAAGCAGCCAUUCAUUAAAAGAGUGCGUAAUAGCUCACUAGUCGAGAGAUCUUGCGCCGAAAAUGUAACGGGGCUAAACUUACCACCGAAGCUACGGGCUUGAACUUAGUUCAAGCGGUAGGAGAGCGUCGUAACCGGGCUGAAGUCGUACCGUAAGGAGCGGUGGACUGGUUACGAGUGAGAAUGUUGGCAUCAGUAGCGAGAUGUGGGUGAGAAUCCCACAGGCCGAAAACCUAAGGUUUCCUCAGGAAGGUUCGUCCGCUGAGGGUUAGUCGGGACCUAAGCCGAGGCCGAAAGGCGUAGGUGAUGGACAACUGGUUGAUAUUCCAGUACCACUACCAUCGUUAUUAUCGAUGGCGUGACGCAGGAGGAUAG